RNAcentral lists this ribosomal RNA (492 nucleotides) under uncultured bacterium. RNAcentral describes it as "partial 16S ribosomal RNA". It matches the Rfam family "Bacterial small subunit ribosomal RNA", at positions 30 to 507 of the family's 1533-position model. The record is from RNAcentral.
AGUGAACGCUGGCGGUAGGCCUAACACAUGCAAGUCGAACGGCAGCACAGUAAGAGCUUGCUCUUACGGGUGGCGAGUGGCGGACGGGUGAGGAAUACAUCGGAAUCUACUUUUUCGUGGGGGAUAACGUAGGGAAACUUACGCUAAUACAGCAUACGACCUUCGGGUGAAAGCAGUGGAUCGUCGGACCUUGCGCGAUUGAAUGAGCCGAUGUCGGAUUGGCUAGUUGGCGGGGUAAAGGCCCACCAGGGCGAGGAUCCGUAGCUGGUCUGAGAGGAGGGUCAGCGGCCUGGGAACUGAGACGCGGACAAGGGGCCUGAGGGAGGGAGCAGUGGGGAACAGGGGACAAUGGUGGCAAGCAUGGUCCAGUCAGCGCGAGUGGGUGAAGAAGGCCUUCGGGUUGUGAAGACCGUCUGUUGGGAAAGAAAAGCAGCAGGUUAAGACCCCGCUGUUCUGACGGUACCCAAAGAAUAAGCACCGGCUAACUUCGUG